AGAAACUAACCAGGAUUUCCCUAGUAACGGCGAGCGAACCGGAAAGAGCCCAGCUUGAAAAUCNNGGCGCCCCGGCGCCUCGAAUUGUAUUCUGGAGAAGGUCCCUCUGCGGCGCGCCGGACCCAAGUUCCCUGGAAAGGGACGCCAUCRAGGGUGAGAGCCCCGCUGAUUCCGGAGUGCGCUGCUCCACAAGGACCUGUCUGCGAGUCGGGCUGUUUGGGAAUGCAGCCCUAAGCGGGUGGUAAAUUCCAUCCAAGGCUAAAUAUUGSCAAGAGACCGAUAGCGAACAAGUCCCGCGAGGGAAAGAUGAAAAGGACUUUGAAAAGAGAGUUAAAAAGUGCUUGAAAUUGCUGGGAGGGAAGCGAAUGGAAGCUGCGGGUGCGCCCCGGCUGGAUGCGGAACGGCCGUCAAACGCUGGUCCGCCGCUCAGCGCGGGGCGCUGGUCAGCGUGGGCCAUCGCGGCGGGACAAGAGCGGGGAUUCGCUUCCCGCCGAUGCCGCUGCGGUGGCCGAGGAACGAAGCGCGCGCUCAUUCGUGGGCGUGGGAUCCGUCCCAACUGCGCGCUCGGGACGCUGGCGUAUUGAGCUCUUCAUCCGACCCGUCUUGAAACACGGACCAAGGAGUCUAACAUGUAUGCGAGCCGGUGGGCGGCAAACCCAUUGAGGCGCAAGUAACCUGACAGGUGGGACCCCGACCGCAAGSAAGGGAGCACCAUCGACCGACCGUGAUCUUCUGUGAAAGGUUUGAGUGUGAGCAUACCUGUUGGGACCCGAAAGAUGGUGAACUAUGCCUGAGCAGGGCGAAGCCAGAGGAAACUCUGGUGGAGGCUCGUAGCGAUACUGACGUGCAAAUCGUUCGUCAGACUUGGGUAUAGGGGCGAAAGACUAAUCGAACCAUCUAGUAGCUGGUUCCCUCCGAAGUUUCCCUCAGGAUAGCUGGAGCUCAGCGUAAGAGUUUUAUCAGGUAAAGCGAAUGAUUAGAGGCAUCGGGGGUGUAACACCCUCGACCUAUUCUCAAACUUUAAAUAGGUAAGCCGCCGGGGUUGCUUGGUUGAACCCCGGCACAGAAUGAGAG
This 1074-nucleotide ribosomal RNA is filed under the name Pulvigera lyellii. Its description in RNAcentral is "eukaryotic LSU rRNA". It matches the Rfam family "Eukaryotic large subunit ribosomal RNA", at positions 60 to 1119 of the family's 3401-position model. The record is from RNAcentral. Lineage: Eukaryota; Viridiplantae; Streptophyta; Bryopsida; Orthotrichales; Orthotrichaceae.